GAUGAACGCUAGCUACAGGCUUAACACAUGCAAGUCGAGGGGUAACGAGAGGAAAGCUUGCUUUCCUUGUCGACGACCGGCGCACGGGUGAGUAACGCGUAUCCAACCUGCCCCCAACUAGGGAAUAACCUUGCGAAAGUAAGACUAAUACCCUAUAAUUUCCUCAGAUGUCAUCUGACGAGGAAUAAAGAUUUAUCGGUUGUGGAUGGGGAUGCGUCUGAUUAGCUUGUUGGCGGGGUAACGGCCCACCAAGGCAACGAUCAGUAGGGGUUCUGGAAGGAAGGUCCCCAACAUUGGAAGUGAGAAACGGUCCAAACUCCUACGGGAGGCAGCAGUGAGGAAUAUUGGUCAAUGGGCGGAAGCCUGAACCAGCCAACUAGCGUGCAGGAUGUCGGCCCUAUGGGUUGUAAACUGCUUUUAUACAGGAAUAAAGUUAGCCACGUGUGGUUAUUUGUAGGUACUGUAUGAAUAAGGACCGGCUAAUUCCGUGCCAGCCGCCGCUGUAA
Molecule: ribosomal RNA, 506 nt
Filed under: uncultured bacterium
Lineage: Bacteria
Description: partial 16S ribosomal RNA
Rfam family: Bacterial small subunit ribosomal RNA
Source: RNAcentral